Molecule: ribosomal RNA, 506 nt
Filed under: uncultured bacterium
Lineage: Bacteria
Description: partial 16S ribosomal RNA
Rfam family: Bacterial small subunit ribosomal RNA
Source: RNAcentral
AGUGAACGCUGGCGGUAGGCCUAACACAUGCAAGUCGAACGGCAGCACAGAGGAGCUUGCUCCUUGGGUGGCGAGUGGCGGACGGGUGAGGAAUACAUCGGAAUCUACUCUGUCGUGGGGGAUAACGUAGGGAAACUUACGCUAAUACCGCAUACGACCUACGGGUGAAAGCAGGGGAUCUUCGGACCUUGCGCGAUUGAAUGAGCCGAUGUCGGAUUAGCUAGUUGGCGGGGUAAAGGCCCACCAAGGCGACGAUCCGUAGCUGGUCUGAGAGGAUGAUCGGCCACACUGGAACUGAGACACGGUCCAGACUCCUACGGGAGGCAGCAGUGGGGAAUAUUGGACAAUGGGCGCAAGCCUGAUCCAGCCAUACCGCGUGGGUGAAGAAGGCCUUCGGGUUGUAAAGCCCUUUUGUUGUGAAAGAAAUCCAUCUGGUUAAUUCCCGGGUGGGAUGACGGUACCCAAAGAAUAAGCACCGGCUAACUUCGUGCCUGCAGCCGCCGCCG